RNAcentral lists this long non-coding RNA (6048 nucleotides) under Sus scrofa (pig). RNAcentral's name for it is "lncRNA (ENSSSCG00000055233.1)". Lineage: Eukaryota; Metazoa; Chordata; Mammalia; Artiodactyla; Suidae. The record is from RNAcentral.
CACACAUAGUUCUUGUAGCAACUCUUAGGAAUUACGUCCUGUCAUUUCCAUUAUGGAGAUAAGGAAACAGGCUUGGAGAAUAUCACAUUUUUAGGGAUGGAGUAGGGAAUACAAAUUCAGUUGUGACAACUCUCAAAGGCUUUAUUCAUUGGCCGAUCAACCAACCAACCGAUCAAACACUGUGUCAGAGGAUGCUACUCUCCCAGGAAAUUCUCUGGAGGGACUUUGAUGUGAAAGUUGGCUCCCAAAGGCAGCCUACAAUGAGAGGAUGCCCUUUCUCUACUUAAGGAGAGUUUUCUCCUAACGUGAGCCAGUGAAUACCUGCUGAUGAUCUUGCAUUGCUAAAGAAACAGAUUCUUGAGUCCUAUCCCAGGCCUAAUAAUUCAGAACCCCUGUAAUGAGUGGGAAGCAAGGGCAGGUAUCUGCAUUUAAAACAAACUCAAGUUGCUCUUAAUUCCCCAGGGAAACUUGUGACCUGCUUGACCUCGCUAUGAGAAAAGAGUGACUCUCCAGGCUAAAUAUCUCUGACUUUCUCCUUCAGACCCUUUCUGGCCCAGGAGAGAGGGUGCAUGUUCUGAUUCCUUCAGCAGGCUCCCUCAAAGGAUGGAGGAGAAUGGGGACAAGGUCUUUGAGUCUCAGGCUCCCUUUCUGUUCAGCCAUUGCAAGUUGGCUGCCUCAUAACACCUGUCAGGCAGCCCUCUUCACACAAGGAAAUCUUGAGUUUUCAGGAACUACACCCUCUUAGCUAUUUAAGCUCUGGGUGAUAAUGUUCUUCCUGGUGCCCCCUCCAGGGUAUGAUACUAUCUUCCACUGCUUUGUGAAAGCCUGUCCACAUCUGUGAACAGUCUCCUUGUUAUCUGCAGCAUCCCCCAGUUAGCAGGGUCCUCUGGUUCCUGGCCGAAACUUGAUCCAUGUUCUGACAAACAUAGUCCCAAUGGCUAUAUACUACUUACUUAUUCUAGGUUGUUCUUUCUAUAUUGCACCUAUUAGGGACUUGAUUUGCCCCUGAGUUGCCUCAUCUGUUAAGUGAGUUAGUAUACUCUUAUUUCCAACUGUUGUAAGGAUUAAAUGAGAAUAAUGUAAAAUGCCUAACAUGUGCCUCCUAUAGACUUUGAGUUAAUGUUAAUCCUGGUCACAUAUUUACAGCUGCAUCUGUCUCCUCAUUAACAGAUCUUGAUUGACCUCCAAGGCACUGCUCUUUUCAGACCUUCCUUAUUCCUUGUUCUCUCUCCCCACCAGCUCUUCCUGGCAGAGGACCCUUUGCUCACUCUGACACCCGGCUUGCUCAGUCUUACUGGGACUUAGAGCUCACUUUAAGAGCUACCCGGUCAACUCCCAUUGUCUCUAAGCCAUGUCCCUUUUUUGUGCCCGGGCACCAGACCUUUCCACCAACUCCAGAUUGACCCUUAUUUUCUCUGCAUAUCAAUAUGCAUGUGUCUCCAGAUUUAGCCCUCAGAACUUUCCUGAUCUAAGCUUUAGUUUCUUUUUUUUUGUGUGGGGGGGAGGUGUCUUUUUUCCAGCUCUCAGAUUUCCCUAUAAUCCAAGCAUUUAAAGCCAAUCAUGCUUCUAAAUCCACUUCCAUUUGGAGCUUUAAAACUCUUACAAUAUCACUCAGGCAUCUCAUGUCAUCACACUUGUGUAAGAACUCAAUUGCAGGUAAGGGGCCCUUCUCAGCCUAAAAGCAACAAUAAGUUGUUCUCUAACCUAGAAAAAGUUGAAGGAGAUUGCUUGUUCAUUUGAGCACCAAGCAAGGACUGCGCACAGAGGGUAGUUUAUUUCUGCCCAUAGCACAUGUAAGAAUGCAAGCAAGGUGUGAGCCAGUCUCCUUACUCAAUCCUCCUUCAGAGCUCCUUACAAUUAACCUGUGAACUUUCAAGAAAGGCAGUUGGAUUUGAGAACCACUAAACCCAGAUCCUACACGUGACUCACUAUACAAGUUACUCUGAAUGCUUAUAGGCAGUGAACUAUAAGGAAUUAGUGGGUUAUAAGACCACGAAGGUACUUGCCUAUCCUCAAGAGUCCCAUGUUUUAGAUGGAAUAUGCUAUUUGCACUGGAAUACCUGCUUCCUGCCUGAUUCUGAUUUCCUUGGUCUCAGACUUUGAUUAUUCCCUUGUUUAAAUAUGGUCUUAAAGUAUGAGUAUUAAUCACCUGGUAAUGCCACCGGGCUUGCUAUAGGCUUCUCUGUAAAUGUUGACUCUAGCUGUCUAGACUGAACUACUGUGCGCUCUGGGGCUUGAAAUAUGUGCUCUAGGACAGCUAUAUUUUCUUUGGGACAUCAGUGUUAUUCCAUAGUCACUCCUUGAAUUUGCUCUUUGUUCUGGCUUUGUGUCUCUGGAAAGGGAGUUUAUUUUUCUUUUUUGUGGAGGAGAGUCUCUUAUGAUUAGUAUCUGACCAACACUCAAUCUUCGAGAUCGAGGUGUCUUCUGAGUAUACCAGGCACCAAUAGCUUGCAGUGUAACUGUUAAUUCCCUUUAAGCCCUGUGUACUAGGGGUUACCCACCCGUGCUGUUCACACAUAGAAAAGAAUCUUACGUGAAGUGUCCAAAGUUACACCUACAUUGAAAUUGUUAGAAUUCCUUACUUUAUGUAAUUUUUCAUUUAAAGAAACUGAAGUCUGAAAGCCUAAGAGGUUUUUAUGAGGAGUCCCAAAACCCAAACGCCUCUCACGUUUUGUCUCUGGAACGUAAUCUGGUUAUUUAGGGGUGGAGUGGGACCCCAAGUUUCUGCUUCAUAUGCCUAUAACUUAAUUCCUCAUUGGCUAAUUUAUUUAAACACAGUAUUAGGAAUUAGGGAAUUAUUUGAGAACUCCAUUCUUCAGAAGGCUACUAUCUAGCCCUAGAUAAAACAAAUGCUUGAAUUGAAAUAACUCUUCCUCAUGUGUUAGAAUUUUUAGAAAGCAUUUGACAGGACCAGCUGUUGCUUUUCAGCAGCAGUUUUUAAAACAAAUUGCAACAAAGAAGAAAAUGUGACAAAGAGUGAUUUUAGACUAAAGAUGCCUUUUAUAUAUGGGUAGCUAGACAGCCAGGCAGUCCACUUGCAGUUUGUUCAGUAGAAUAAAGUCCACUACAAGGAGCUGAGAAAUAGCCUAAUUUGCUAAGAUGUUUUCAUUUUAUCCCAUUAAUUCAUUUUACCUUAGAAUUUGUGCAACAGCCUUAAACACAUUGAGGAAGACAUUAUGGAAAAAAUGUAAAAUAUCAUUGUUUUUUCCCCAAGUAUAGAUAAAUCUCUAGUAAGUGCAUCUCUGCACUUCUGUUCACACUGUUCAUGUUUAUAAGUGAGGUUAGCAUUUCUUUAGCAUACCAUACUUAGUGAUCCACAGGUUUAGGAUUCAUUGGAGUAUUUUCUUCCAGAUGUCAGUCUUGGGAUCAUUAGGGCCAGUGCUGUGCCUCUUCAGUAGUAGCAAGUUAAAAUGCAAAAUUCUGAAGUAGUAUUUGCAGUCAGUAACUCUGGGAGGGCUUGCCAUAAAUCUUGCACUGUUCAAAAGUAAAACACCUGCAAAUCUUCUAUUCUGCCUACAGUGUGAAACUCAAGGUGAAAUACAGGCCAGAUAUUAAAAGUUUAUCUUCUCUCCCUCUUGACUAGGUGUACGUAUAAAGGAGAAAAAUCCACUUAAAGCUUUAAGUAAAACAGAUCACAUCUAGGCUAUUUCCACUUUACUAUUGAUUGAAAAGCGCAAAAGAAGAUACUGUCUCAAAUACACAUCAUCUCUUUCUUGCACCAGUGACCCCUGUUAUGCUGUCAGUAAUAGCCCUGAAGUUUACUGUCUGAGCUUCCAGGAAUUUGAAUUGAUUUCACCAGUUAAUUAACCUCAGGACACAUGGAGAUCUCCACAGAGCAUACGGCACUGGCCAACCGAGGGCUCUCGUGGCAUUGACAGCUACCUUCUCCCAAAGUAGUACUUUCAAAGGAGAGAGCAAGGAAAAAGCCACAUGACUUUCUAUGACCUUGUCUUGGAAGCCAUAUACUGUCAACUUCCACCACAGUUUAGAGUCAUUAAGUACAACCUACACUCAAGAGAAGGUUAAUUAGGCUCUGCAUUUUUAAGGGAGGAGUAUCUAAGAAUUUGUGGGCAUGUUUUAAAAUCACACUUAUUUUCCACAAAUGUUAGGUGCAUAUGGUGGCCAGCAACAUAUAUUUAAAAGAAAUGGAGAAUUAGAGAAAUUAAAUGAAGUAUAUGGUGUGUGAACUACUUCUCAAUAGGCUAAUUUUUUUUUUUUUUUUGUCUUUUUGCCUUUUUUCUAGCACCGCUCCCGCGGCAUAUGGAGGUUCCCAGGCUAGGGGUCUAAUCGGAGCUGUAGCCUUCGGCCUACACCACAGCCACAGCAACAAGGGAUGCGAGGGAUCCGAGCUGCAUCUGCAGCCUACACCACAGCUCACAGCAACGCCCAGAUCCUUUAACCCACUGAGCAAGGCCAGGGACCCAACCCGCAACCUCAUGGUUUCUAGUCAGAUUCUUUAACCACUGCGCCACGACGGAAAUUCCCAAUAGGCUGUUAAUUUUUGUGUAAACAAACAGUGGGGAAAGCACUUCAUAGGAGAAAGAAUUUGAUCUCUAGAGUUUUACACCCAGUUUUUUUGCUUUGUUUUGUUUUUUAUACCAAGGGUGGGUCAUCUAAGCCCCAUACCAAACUUAAAUGGUGAUGCACUGGAGCUGGUAUGUUCUGACUUGUGAGUGACAAUCAUUAGUAUUUUCUCCAGUUCCAUGUUCAGUGACACCAGGUUGGAAGCUUGAAAUCAACCAUAGUGAAACUAUUUGCAUCAUGAAAAUUGAUAGUCUACAUAUCUUCCUUCUUCUAGAGAACUGGGUAUUUUAAUAUUGAUGAGCACAUAACUAUGAUUGAUUCUAAGAGAAAGAAAAUUAAGGGACUUCUUUUACAACUUAUUUUUUAUUUUUAAAAAUAUUUUUGCUUUUCCCAAGGGCCCUAAGGGUAGCAGAUGAAAAGCCCAGAAUUUGGAACUACUGUUGAACGAAUAUAAAUUAGCUUUAUUUUUGGUGUGUAGGAUACCUCUUGAAGAGGAUCAGUGGCUCCACGUGGCCCAGACCAUUUUCCUUGCCUCCAUCACAGUAUCAGUGAACCUGUAAUGAUGAGGGAGACUAUGACUAGUUAGCUGACUAGUUGUGAUUGGGAAAUUAUUCUACUUCAGGGGCUGAAAUUAAAGAACUAAUGAAAGUCAAAAGUAAAAACAGGUGGUAGUUCAAGAAAAAGAGAAAAGGUCACAAAUGGAGAGGAACCCUAUUUUGUACUUACUAGGAAAUUGCUAGAAAAGGGAUAUAUGAAGGAUCUCUGUAUUUUCCAACAAAAUUGUGAGACUAUUUUCUCAGUACAGAAAACGUUAGACCUCAUUUCUCUAAUUUGGCAAUUAUUCCUCAAAUCAGUAUUCAUUACCACUAGCCUCUGCUGAAUACUCUUGAAUAAGUAUUCCUUAUUUAUGUGAUGCCUUUUUUUUUUUUACAUAUUGAAACAUCUAUAUUACACAUAGUGGCAGUUUUGCAGAAUUUUCUGUGCAGACAAUCAUACAAACACAAUCCCUAAAAUGGAAGCAUGUGACAUACGGAGGAUGGAGAAGGAUGAAACUGACUUCAGUGGAGCAACUGUUUUUUAGCAAUAGUGCUAAUAGCUCAAAAGUGAUCACAUUUACAGAUAAGAAGUAAAAGACUGUGCCAGAGACAUGUGGGUUAAGACACAUGAAAUCUCACCACCACGCUAGCUCUGAGAACUGACAGCUAGGUUACCAUGGAGACAGAAGCAGAGACACCAGCUAUGAACUCAGAAUACCAAUUAACAGCUAGCUCUUUAUGUUACUAAAAUUGGUUGUCAGGGAAACUUGCAGGAUUCGUUCAGAUUAUCAAAUGGAUUACAAACUGAAUCCGAAAGUCAGAUUCUUUAGAAUUUUAUGUAUCUUGAAUUAUUUAUGGAGAUUCAUGCUACCCUCAGGAUAGUAUCCAUUGUCUCUUCUUCGUCACUACCCUUCCUUGUUUUGUUUCCUUUAAAACAUUCCUUAGGCAGAUAUUGGGAUAUAUAUUUUAAUGUUCUUGCUUGUUUUCC